This is a non-coding RNA of Albula goreensis, 79 nucleotides long. The record is from the annotation of a GenBank genome assembly. NCBI's taxonomy places the organism in Eukaryota, Metazoa, Chordata, Actinopteri, Albuliformes, Albulidae.
GGGGCAGCCUAUAGCCUAGUGGUUAAGAUACAUGACUGGGACCCCUGAGGUUGGUGGUUCAAAUCCCAGUCCAGCCCCA